CCUACGGGUGGCAGCAGUGAGGAAUAUUGGUCAAUGGGCGGAAGCCUGAACCAGCCAAGUAGCGUGCAGGAUGACGGCCCUACGGGUUGUAAACUGCUUUUAUACGGGAAUAACGCGCCUUACGUGUAGGGCUUUGCAUGUACCGUAUGAAUAAGGACCGGCUAAUUCCCUGCCAGCAGGCGCGGUAAUACGGAAGGUCCGGGCGGUAUCCGGAUUUAUUGGGUUUAAAGGGAGCGUAGGCCGCAGUGCAAGCGUGCUGUUAAAUGUCCGGGCCCAACCCGGGCCGUGCAGCGCGAACUGGCGUGCUUGAGUCCGCGGAAAGCAGGCGGAAUUCGUCGUGUAGCGGUGAAAUGCUUAGAUAUGACGAAGAACCCCGAUUGCGAAGGCAGCUUGCUGCAGCGGAACUGACGCUGAUGCUCGAAAGCGCGGGUAUCGAACAGGAUUAGAUACCCCAGUAGUC
Molecule: ribosomal RNA, 460 nt
Filed under: uncultured bacterium
Lineage: Bacteria
Description: partial 16S ribosomal RNA
Rfam family: Bacterial small subunit ribosomal RNA
Source: RNAcentral